RNAcentral lists this ribosomal RNA (484 nucleotides) under uncultured bacterium. Its description in RNAcentral is "partial 16S ribosomal RNA". It matches the Rfam family "Bacterial small subunit ribosomal RNA", at positions 30 to 507 of the family's 1533-position model. The record is from RNAcentral.
AUUGAACGCUGGCGGCAGGCCUAACACAUGCAAGUCGAGCGGAUGAAGGGAGCUUGCUCCUGGAUUCAGCGGCGGACGGGUGAGUAAUGCCUAGGAAUCUGCCUGGUAGUGGGGGAUAACGUCCGGAAACGGGCGCUAAUACCGCAUACGUCCUGAGGGAGAAAGUGGGGGAUCUUCGGACCUCACGCUAUCAGAUGAGCCUAGGUCGGAUUAGCUAGUUGGUGGGGUAAAGGCCUACCAAGGCGACGAUCCGUAACUGGUCUGAGGGGAUGAUCAGUCACACUGGAACUGAGACACGGUCCAGACUCCUACGGGAGGCAGCAGUGGGGAAUAUUGGACAAUGGGCGAAAGCCUGAUCCAGCCAUGCCGCGUGUGUGAAGAAGGUCUUCGGAUUGUAAAGCACUUUAAGUUGGGAGGAAGGGCAGUAAGUUAAUACCUUGCUGCUUUGACGUUACCAACAGAAUAAGCACCGGCUAACUUCGUG